UCUUUAAAUAGGGACUAGUAUCAACGGCAUCACGAGGGUUACACUGUCUCCUUUUUCCAAUCAGUGAAACUGAUCUUCCCGUGAAGAAGCGGGAAUAUAAUCAUAAGACGAGAAGACCCCAUGGAGCUUUAAAUUUAUAGCAACUCAGUCAAACAAAUCCUUAUAAUCUACAAAGCAUGCGUACUAAUUUUAGGUUGGGGUGACCGCGGAGUAAAAAUAAACCUCCACAACGAAAAGAACUAAAUCUUUAUCCAAGAGCUACGGCUCUAAGAAUUAGAACACUAACGACAAUGACCCGAUAAUCGAUCAACGGACCAAGUUACCCUGGGGAUAACAGCGCAAUCUACUUCGAGAGCUCAUAUCGACAAGUAGGCUUACGACCUCGAUGUUGGAUCAGGGUAUCCCAGUGGUGCAGCCGCUACUAAUGGUUC
Molecule: ribosomal RNA, 431 nt
Filed under: Zhangixalus minimus
Lineage: Eukaryota; Metazoa; Chordata; Amphibia; Anura; Rhacophoridae
Description: partial 16S ribosomal RNA
Rfam family: Bacterial large subunit ribosomal RNA
Source: RNAcentral